RNAcentral lists this ribosomal RNA (602 nucleotides) under Streptomyces sp. RNAcentral describes it as "bacterial SSU rRNA". It matches the Rfam family "Bacterial small subunit ribosomal RNA", at positions 84 to 699 of the family's 1533-position model. The record is from RNAcentral. Lineage: Bacteria; Bacillati; Actinomycetota; Actinomycetes; Kitasatosporales; Streptomycetaceae.
GGUGGGGAUUAGUGGCGAACGGGUGAGUAACACGUGGGCAAUCUGCCCUGCACUCUGGGACAAGCCCUGGAAACGGGGUCUAAUACCGGAUACAACCACUGACCGCAUGGUCGGGUGGUGGAAAGCUCCGGCGGUGCAGGAUGAGCCCGCGGCCUAUCAGCUUGUUGGUGAGGUAGUGGCUCACCAAGGCGACGACGGGUAGCCGGCCUGAGAGGGCGACCGGCCACACUGGGACUGAGACACGGCCCAGACUCCUACGGGAGGCAGCAGUGGGGAAUAUUGCACAAUGGGCGAAAGCCUGAUGCAGCGACGCCGCGUGAGGGAUGACGGCCUUCGGGUUGUAAACCUCUUUCAGCAGGGAAGAAGCGAAAGUGACGGUACCUGCAGAAGAAGCGCCGGCUAACUACGUGCCAGCAGCCGCGGUAAUACGUAGGGCGCAAGCGUUGUCCGGAAUUAUUGGGCGUAAAGAGCUCGUAGGCGGCUUGUCACGUCGGUUGUGAAAGCCCGGGGCUUAACCCCGGGUCUGCAGUCGAUACGGGCAGGCUAGAGUUCGGUAGGGGAGAUCGGAAUUCCUGGUGUAGCGGUGAAAUGCGCAGAUAUCA